CUACGGGGUGCAGCAGUGAGGAAUAUUGCACAAUGGGGGGAACCCUGAUGCAGCAACGCCGCGUGGAGGAUGACGCAUUUCGGUGUGUAAACUCCUUUUAUAUGUCAAGAAAAUGACGGUAGCAUAUGAAUAAGCACCGGCUAACUCCGUGCCAGCAGCCGCGGUAAUAGCGGAGGGUGCAAGCGUUACUCGGAAUCACUGGGCGUAAAGGACGCGUAGGCGGGUUGGAAAGUCAGGUGUGAAAUCCUACAGCUUAACUGUGGAACUGCACUUGAAACUUCUAAUCUAGAGUAUGGGAGGGGGAGAUGGAAUUAGUGGUGUAGGGGUAAAAUCCGUAGAUAUCACUAGGAAUACCUAAAGCGAAGGCGAUCUCCUGGAACAUUACUGACGCUAAGGCGUGAAAGCGUGGGGAGCAAACAGGAUUAGAUACCCGCGUAGUC
RNAcentral lists this ribosomal RNA (440 nucleotides) under uncultured bacterium. RNAcentral's name for it is "partial 16S ribosomal RNA". It matches the Rfam family "Bacterial small subunit ribosomal RNA", at positions 339 to 795 of the family's 1533-position model. The record is from RNAcentral.